GACGAACGCUGGCGGCGUGCUUAACACAUGCAAGUCGAACGGAAAGGCCCUGCUUUUGUGGGGUGCUCGAGUGGCGAACGGGUGAGUAACACGUGAGUAACCUGCCCUUGACUUUGGGAUAACUUCAGGAAACUGGGGCUAAUACCGGAUAGGAGCUCCUGCUGCAUGGUGGGGGUUGGAAAGUUUCGGCGGUUGGGGAUGGACUCGCGGCUUAUCAGCUUGUUGGUGAGGUAGUGGCUUACCAAGGCUUUGACGGGUAGCCGGCCUGAGAGGGUGACCGGCCACAUUGGGACUGAGAUACGGCCCAGGCUCCUACGGGAGGCAGCAGUGGGGAAUAUUGCACAAUGGGCGGAAGCCUGAUGCAGCAACGCCGCGUGCGGGAUGACGGCCUUCGGGUUGUAAACCGCUUUCGCCUGUGACGAAGCGUGAGUGACGGUAAUGGGUAAAGAAGCACCGGCUAACUACGUA
RNAcentral lists this ribosomal RNA (468 nucleotides) under uncultured bacterium. Its description in RNAcentral is "partial 16S ribosomal RNA". It matches the Rfam family "Bacterial small subunit ribosomal RNA", at positions 28 to 507 of the family's 1533-position model. The record is from RNAcentral.